GACUCCGUGGAAGCGCAAUUGUGUUGCACAUGCAAGGCCCUGUGUCCAGUCCCCAGGAAGGCAAUGGGAAGGAAAACAUAUCAGAUAAGGGAGAUAAGGCUCAAAAUAUACUCAGCACAUUGGGUCAGCUUCCAGGGAAGUGAGGGGUAGGACUCACAGCCAGUGACAAUCUCAACAAAUGAACUUCUCAAAAGGCUCUGGAUUCUGAUUCUGUCAGUUAAAAAUCACUUGUGAAUGCAUUGUCAAGAUUGGAGACGAUAGCCUGCAAACUAGCCAUCCUGCAGAUGUACAGAAGCCAGAAGAGCCAGUGACUUCCACAUUGAGGAGGAGGAAUCACAGAACCCUUUUGUCGUUGCUGAGAAUCCUGAUUGGAAAAGGAAAAUGACAUCAUUAAGAAGGGAGAAUCAUAGUAAUUUGAACACCUAGCAAAGAUAUCACAUCGUUUUUCAUAUUGCAUAGAUUUCUCUGCUUGGUGUGUCACAAACAGCAGAAUAUUCAAAGGAUGGCAAGUUUAUCUUAAAAAGUUGAAAAAGGA
This is a long non-coding RNA of Peromyscus leucopus (white-footed mouse), 535 nucleotides long. RefSeq lists it as uncharacterized. Lineage: Eukaryota; Metazoa; Chordata; Mammalia; Rodentia; Cricetidae. The record is from RefSeq and is a predicted model, not a curated record. The transcript is spliced from 2 exons.